RNAcentral lists this ribosomal RNA (436 nucleotides) under uncultured bacterium. Its description in RNAcentral is "partial 16S ribosomal RNA". It matches the Rfam family "Bacterial small subunit ribosomal RNA", at positions 28 to 507 of the family's 1533-position model. The record is from RNAcentral.
GAUGAACGCUGGCGGCAUGCCUAACACAUGCAAGUCGGACGGGCAGAGGUGUUUCUAGUGGCGGACGGGUGAGUAACGGGUAAGAAACUGCCAUGGGGAGGGGAACAACAGAUGGAAAGGGCAGCUAAUACCAAGCAGGCCGAGGAGCAAAAGGAGGCUUCAGCCCGAGGAGGGGCUAGCGACUGAUUAGCUAGUUGGUGAGGCAAUAGCUAACCAAGGUGAUGAUCAGUAGCGGGACGGUGAGGAUGAACAGCCACACCGGGACGGAGACACGGCCCGGGCACCUUCGGGAAUGGGCAGUGGGAAUUUGCCGCAAUGGGGGAAGGGCUGACGAGGCAUUGCCGCGUGAAAGUAGAGGGCUCACGGGACGUGAACUGCUUUUCCCGGAGAAGAAGCAAUGACGGUAUCUAGGGAAUAAGCAUCGGCUAACUCUGUG